This 1233-nucleotide ribosomal RNA is filed under the name Diphyrrhynchus sp. 1 GJK-2014. Its description in RNAcentral is "SSU rRNA". It matches the Rfam family "Eukaryotic small subunit ribosomal RNA", at positions 32 to 1195 of the family's 1831-position model. The record is from RNAcentral. Lineage: Eukaryota; Metazoa; Arthropoda; Insecta; Coleoptera; Tenebrionidae.
UUGUCUCAAAGAUUAAGCCAUGCAUGUCUCAGUACAAGCCGAAUUAAGGUGAAACCGCGAAAGGCUCAUUAAAUCAGUUAUGGUUCCUUAGAUCGUACCCACAUUUACUUGGAUAACUGUGGUAAUUCUAGAGCUAAUACAUGCAAACAGAGCUCCGACCGGAAACGGAAGGAGCGCUUUUAUUAGAUCAAAACCGAUCGGUGGCGUGGGGCGGUCUUCACCGUCUCCGUCAUCGUACAAUAUGGUGAAUCUGAAUAACUUCACGCUGAUCGCACGGUCUCGCACCGGCGACGCAUCUUUCAAAUGUCUGCCUUAUCAACUGUCGAUGGUAGGUUCUGCGCCUACCAUGGUCGUAACGGGUAACGGGGAAUCAGGGUUCGAUUCCGGAGAGGGAGCCUGAGAAACGGCUACCACAUCCAAGGAAGGCAGCAGGCGCGCAAAUUACCCACUCCCGGCACGGGGAGGUAGUGACGAAAAAUAACGAUACGGGACUCAUCCGAGGCCCCGUAAUCGGAAUGAGUACACUCUAAACCCUUUAACGAGGAUCAAUUGGAGGGCAAGUCUGGUGCCAGCAGCCGCGGUAAUUCCAGCUCCAAUAGCGUAUAUUAAAGUUGUUGCGGUUAAAAAGCUCGUAGUCGAAUCUGUGUCCCGCGCCGCCGGUUCAUCGUUCGCGGUGUUAACUGGCGUGCCGCGGGACGUCCUGCCGGUGGGCUUAGCUCGCGAGGGCGGCCCAACUCAAUCCCGCCGCGGUGCUCUUCAUUGAGUGUCGAGGUGGGCCGGCACGUUUACUUUGAACAAAUUAGAGUGCUUAAAGCAGGCUAAAACUUCGCCUGAAUACUGUGUGCAUGGAAUAAUGGAAUAGGACUCGGUUCUAUUUUGUUGGUUUUCGGAACCCCGAGGUAAUGAUUAAUAGGAACGGAUGGGGGCAUUCGUAUUGCGACGUUAGAGGUGAAAUUCUUGGAUCGUCGCAAGACGGACAGAAGCGAAAGCAUUUGCCAAAAACGCUUUCAUUGAUCAAGAACGAAAGUUAGAGGUUCGAAGGCGAUCAGAUACCGCCCUAGUUCUAACCAUAAACGAUGCCAGCUAGCGAUCCGCCGACGUUCCUCCGAUGACUCGGCGGGCAGCUUCCGGGAAACCAAAGCUUUUGGGUUCCGGGGGAAGUAUGGUUGCAAAGCUGAAACUUAAAGGAAUUGACGGAAGGGCACCACCAGGAGUGGAGCCUGCGGCUUAAUU